This is a small nucleolar RNA of Trichomycterus rosablanca, 129 nucleotides long. RefSeq annotates it as small nucleolar RNA SNORA63. The transcript has a single exon. The record is from RefSeq and is a predicted model, not a curated record. NCBI's taxonomy places the organism in Eukaryota, Metazoa, Chordata, Actinopteri, Siluriformes, Trichomycteridae.
AUGCAGGAUAAGUUACAGAUCAGCUGUGUAGUGCUGGUUCGUCGUUCCCCCUGCACAUAGUAACUUGUUUCUUACUAUCCCUGUCUGUCUGCAUUCCCACAGCUUGCAGGGACGCUUGGUUUCAAACAU